AGAGCGAACGCUGGCGGCAGGCUUAACACAUGCAAGUCGAGCGGAUGUAGCAAUACAUCAGCGGCAGACGGGAUAGUAACACGUGGGAACGCGCCCUUUGGUUCGGAAUAACUCAGGGAAACUUGAGCUAAUACCGGAUAAGCCCUUACGGGGAAAGAUUUAUCGCCAUUGGAACGGCCCGCGUCCGAUUAGCUAGUUGGUGAGGUAAUGGCUCACCAAGGCGACGAUCGGUAGCUGGUCUGAGAGGAUGACCAGCAUCACUGGGACUGAGACACGGCCCAGACUCCUACGGGAGGCAGCAGUGGGGAAUAUUGGACAAUGGGCGCAAGCCUGAUCCAGCCAUGCCGCGUGGAUGAUGAAGGCCCUAGGGUUGUAAAGUCCUUUUAACGGGGAAGAUAAUGACGGUACCCGUAGAAUAAGCCCCGGCUAACUUCGCGCCAGCAGCCGC
This 448-nucleotide ribosomal RNA is filed under the name uncultured bacterium. RNAcentral describes it as "SSU rRNA". It matches the Rfam family "Bacterial small subunit ribosomal RNA", at positions 26 to 518 of the family's 1533-position model. The record is from RNAcentral.